This 254-nucleotide ribosomal RNA is filed under the name uncultured bacterium. RNAcentral describes it as "partial small subunit ribosomal RNA". It matches the Rfam family "Bacterial small subunit ribosomal RNA", at positions 26 to 285 of the family's 1533-position model. The record is from RNAcentral.
AGGACGAACGCUGGCGGCGUGCUUAACACAUGCAAGUCGAGCGGAAAGGCCCUUCGGGGUACUCGAGCGGCGAACGGGUGAGUAACACGUGAGUAAUCUGCCCCUAGCUCUGGGAUAGCUCCGGGAAACCGGGAUUAAUACCGGAUAUGACCACUUUAGACAUCUGUUGUGGUGGAAAGAAUUUCGGCUAGGGAUGAGCUCGCGGCCUAUCAGCUUGUUGGUGGGGUAACGGCCUACCAAGGCGACGACAGGUA